CCACAGGUUCUCCUCAGAACCACAUCUACCUUUAUUUGACAGUGAC
This is a non-coding RNA of Anas platyrhynchos (mallard), 46 nucleotides long. Lineage: Eukaryota; Metazoa; Chordata; Aves; Anseriformes; Anatidae. The record is from Rfam.